AUUGAACGCUGGCGGAAUGCUUUACACAUGCAAGUCGAACGGUAGAGGGGGCAACCCCUCGAGAGUGGCGAACGGGUGAGUAAUAUAUCGGAACGUGCCCAGUCGUGGGGGAUAACGUAGCGAAAGUUACGCUAAUACCGCAUACGAUCUAAGGAUGAAAGCGGGGGAUCGCAAGACCUCGCGCGAUUGGAGCGGCCGAUAUCAGAUUAGGUAGUUGGUGGGGUAAAGGCUCACCAAGCCAACGAUCUGUAGCUGGUCUGAGAGGACGGCCAGCCACACUGGAACUGAGACACGGUCCAGACUCCUACGGGAGGCAGCAGUGGGGAAUUUUGGACAAUGGACGCAAGUCUGAUCCAGCCAUUCCGCGUGCAGGAUGUAGGCCCUCGGGUUGUAAACUGCUUUUGUACGGAACGAAAAGGUCUCUCUUAAUACGGGGGACUCAUGACGGUACCGUAAGAAUAAGCACCGGCUAACUACGUGCCAGCAGCCGCCGUAA
Molecule: ribosomal RNA, 496 nt
Filed under: uncultured bacterium
Lineage: Bacteria
Description: partial 16S ribosomal RNA
Rfam family: Bacterial small subunit ribosomal RNA
Source: RNAcentral